This 80-nucleotide small RNA is filed under the name Flavobacterium circumlabens. Its description in RNAcentral is "Flavo-1 RNA". It matches the Rfam family "Flavo-1 RNA". Lineage: Bacteria; Pseudomonadati; Bacteroidota; Flavobacteriia; Flavobacteriales; Flavobacteriaceae. The record is from RNAcentral.
CCCUAGCCCAGAUACAAGCGGUAUCCUUUUUUGUUUUUUCUUUAAAAAUAAAAAGAUACAAGCGGAUAGCUGGAAAUAGC